RNAcentral lists this non-coding RNA (23 nucleotides) under Gallus gallus (chicken). The record is from miRBase by way of RNAcentral. Lineage: Eukaryota; Metazoa; Chordata; Aves; Galliformes; Phasianidae.
UGCUGCCAGAUAGAAGUUCACCU